ACCUCCGAAUCUGCAUUCGAAACUGGCUGACUCGAGUGGGAGAGGUAGCUCCACGUGUAGCGUGAAAUGCGUAGAGAUGUGGAGGAACACCGUGGCGAAGGCGGGCUCUCUUGGGCUGUAACUGACGCUGAGGCGCGAAAGCGUGGGGAGCAAACAGGAUUAGAUACCCUGGUAGUCCACGCCGUAAACGAUGUAUGUUUGGUGUUUGGGGCUUGAUACCCUGGGUGCCGAAGUUAACACUUAAAUCAUUCCCCCUGGGGAGUUCGCAAGAUUAAAUCAAGGAAUGGACGGGGGCCCCCCCCAAGGUGGACUAUGUGGUUUAAUUGGAAGCAACGCGAGAAACCUUCCCAGGUUUUGACUUCCCUGAGACCGUCCGAGAGAUAUGGGUUCCCUUCGGGGCAGAGGUGCCAGGUGGUCCAUGGUGUUUUUCUUCGUUUUUUGAAAUGUUGGGUUAAUUCCCCCAAGGAGGCCAACCCUUUCCUUUAUUUCCCACCGUUAAGCUGGGCACUCAAAAGAGACUGCCGUGACAAACCGGAGGAAGGUGGGGAUGACGUCAAAUCAUCAUGGCCCUUAUGACCUGGGCUACACACGUGCUACAAUGGCUGGUACAAAGAGAAGCGAACCUCGCGAGGGCAAGCAAUCCUCAAAAACCAGUUAGUCCGGAUUGGGUCUGCAACUGCCUGCCAGAUGGGAAUGUGUUAUUGGGGGUUCAUGCGCGGGGGAAUACGUUCCCGGUCCUGUUCCCCCCCCCCCUCCCCCCCCGGGGAGUUGCAACACAAAGAAGUAGGUGGGGUUAACCUCCCCGCCGCCCAAGGUGG
Molecule: ribosomal RNA, 818 nt
Filed under: Paenibacillus sp.
Lineage: Bacteria; Bacillati; Bacillota; Bacilli; Caryophanales; Paenibacillaceae
Description: partial 16S ribosomal RNA
Rfam family: Bacterial small subunit ribosomal RNA
Source: RNAcentral